AGUUCCGAGGUGUUCUCACAUCAGAUUGCAAGUCUGAAGAAGCAGGCUAACACCUGCCGGGGCUU
Molecule: transfer RNA, 65 nt
Filed under: Neoheterandria tridentiger
Lineage: Eukaryota; Metazoa; Chordata; Actinopteri; Cyprinodontiformes; Poeciliidae
Description: tRNA-Cys
Source: RNAcentral